RNAcentral lists this ribosomal RNA (254 nucleotides) under uncultured bacterium. RNAcentral's name for it is "partial 16S ribosomal RNA". It matches the Rfam family "Bacterial small subunit ribosomal RNA", at positions 524 to 776 of the family's 1533-position model. The record is from RNAcentral.
UACGUAGGGAGCGAGCGUUGUCCGGAUUCAUUGGGCGUAAAGAGCUCGUAGGCGGCUUGGCAAGUCGGGUGUGAAAACUCCAGGCUCAACCUGGAGACGCCACCCGAUACUGCCAUGGCUAGAGUCCGGUAGGGGACCACGGAAUUCCUGGUGUAGCGGUGAAAUGCGCAGAUAUCAGGAAGAACACCCGUGGCGAAGGCGGCUCUCUGGGGCGGUACUGACGCUGAGACGCGAAAGCGUGGGGAGCGAACAGG